GGCUUCAGAAGACAGUUUCCAGAAAUCAUCUUUGCCAUUGUUACCAGUGGAGAAGAAAUGGGAGUUGGAAUAUGGGUGGGUAAUGAUGGGUUUAGGGGAAAUGGGGGGUUUAAGGUUUAAGAGGGAUUGGGUUUUAUGGAAACUAGGGUUAACAGCCGGAGAUGUGACGAUUUUGAGAUCAGACGAGACAGCAUUGUGGAGACAUUUAGAG
Long non-coding RNA from Lycium ferocissimum, 211 nucleotides. RefSeq lists it as uncharacterized. The record is from RefSeq and is a predicted model, not a curated record. Lineage: Eukaryota; Viridiplantae; Streptophyta; Magnoliopsida; Solanales; Solanaceae. The transcript has 2 exons.